GAGACUGCCGGUGUUAAACCGGAGGAAGGUGGGAUGACGUCAAGUCCUCAUGGCCUUUAUGCUUAGGGCUACACACGUGCUACGAAUGGGUGGUACAAAGAGAAGCCAACUCGCGAGAGCGCGCCAAUCGUCAAAAAGCCAUCCUCAGUUCGGAUUGGAGUCUGCAACUCGACUCCAUGAAGUUGGAAUCGCUAGUAAUCGCGGAUCAGCAUGCCGCGGUGAAUACGUUCCCGGGCCUU
RNAcentral lists this ribosomal RNA (239 nucleotides) under uncultured Syntrophaceae bacterium. RNAcentral's name for it is "partial 16S ribosomal RNA". It matches the Rfam family "Bacterial small subunit ribosomal RNA", at positions 1145 to 1382 of the family's 1533-position model. Lineage: Bacteria; Pseudomonadati; Thermodesulfobacteriota; Syntrophia; Syntrophales; Syntrophaceae. The record is from RNAcentral.